AGGUAAUAGCAUUGAAAGUUUUUCUCCUCAUUAUUUCUUAUGUGCUGUACAAAUAGUUGAAGGUUAAUUAGUGGUAUAAUUAUAGUAAUGCUGACAGUCUCCUUUGACAAGA
Molecule: small nucleolar RNA, 112 nt
Organism: Otolemur garnettii (small-eared galago)
Lineage: Eukaryota; Metazoa; Chordata; Mammalia; Primates; Galagidae
Source: Ensembl